RNAcentral lists this transfer RNA (85 nucleotides) under Flavobacterium sp. RNAcentral's name for it is "tRNA-Ser". It matches the Rfam family "tRNA". Rfam says of the family: Transfer RNA (tRNA) molecules are approximately 80 nucleotides in length. Lineage: Bacteria; Pseudomonadati; Bacteroidota; Flavobacteriia; Flavobacteriales; Flavobacteriaceae. RNAcentral also lists the same sequence under 5 other names. The record is from RNAcentral.
AGAGAGGUGGCCGAGUGGCUGAAGGCGCACGCUUGGAAAGCGUGUAUAUGGCAACAUAUCGUGGGUUCGAAUCCCAUCCUCUCUG